RNAcentral lists this ribosomal RNA (651 nucleotides) under uncultured methanogenic archaeon. RNAcentral's name for it is "bacterial SSU rRNA". It matches the Rfam family "Archaeal small subunit ribosomal RNA", at positions 86 to 728 of the family's 1478-position model. Lineage: Archaea; Methanobacteriati; Methanobacteriota. The record is from RNAcentral.
UAGCUCAGUAACACGUGGAGAACGUGCCCUUUAGUGGAGGAUAAUCUCGGGAAAUUGAGGAUAAUACUCCAUAGAUCAUGGGAUCUGGAAUGACCCAUGGUUCAAAGUUCCGGCGCUUAAGGAUCGCUCUGCGGCCUAUCAGGUAGUAGUGGGUGUAAAGUACCCCCUAGCCUACGACGGGUAUGGGCCUUGAGAGAGGGAGCCCAGAGUUGGAUUCUGUGUUUUUUUUUUCAUGCCCUACGGGGCGCAGCAGUCGCGAAAACUUCACACUGGGGGCAACCCCGAUGAGGGAAAUCCUAGUGCUAGGACAUUUGUUCUAGCUUUUCUCAAGCGUAGAUAACUUGAGGAAUAAGGGCUGGGUAAGACGGGUGCCAGCCGCCGCGGUAAUACCUGCAGCCCAAGUGGUGGUCGAUUUUAUUGAGUCUAAAACGUUCGUAGCCGGUUUGGUAAAUCUUUGGGUAAAUCGGGAGGCUCAACUUUCCGACUUCCGAAGAGACUGUCAAACUUGGGACCGGGAGAAGGCUAGAAGGUUCUUUCUGGGGUAGGGUUAAAUCCUUGUUAAUCCUAAAAGGACACCCCGGGUGGCGAAGGGGUUUUACCUUAAACGGAACCCACAGGGGGAGAGAACAAAACCUGUGGUCUCCACCGGGA